GAUGAACGCUGGCGGCGUGCCUAAUACAUGCAAGUCGAGCGAACAGAUGAGGAGCUUGCUCCUCUGACGUUAGCGGCGGACGGGUGAGUAACACGUGGAUAACCUACCUAUAAGACUGGGAUAACUUCGGGAAACCGGAGCUAAUACCGGAUAAUAUAUUGAACCGCAUGGUUCAAUAGUGAAAGACGGUUUUGCUGUCACUUAUAGAUGGAUCCGCGCCGCAUUAGCUAGUUGGUAAGGUAACGGCUUACCAAGGCAACGAUGCGUAGCCGACCUGAGAGGGUGGUCGGCCACACUGGAACUGAGACACGGUCCAGACGCCUACGGGAGGCAGCAGUAGGGAAUCUUCCGCAAUGGGCGAAAGCCUGACGGAGCAACGCCGCGUGAGUGAUGAAGGUCUUCGGAUCGUAAAACUCUGUUAUUAGGGGAGAACAAAUGUGUAAGUAACUAUGCACGUCUUGACGGUACCUAAUCAGAAAGCCACGGCUAACUACGUG
Molecule: ribosomal RNA, 497 nt
Filed under: uncultured bacterium
Lineage: Bacteria
Description: partial 16S ribosomal RNA
Rfam family: Bacterial small subunit ribosomal RNA
Source: RNAcentral